UAAUGAUCAAAGUUUCACCCUAAGUUUCACCUUAAUUUCAACAGGGAAUCCUUGAGGUGGGAGACAAGAACUGUGCACCCGGUGAAUGAGAGAAGACACUGUCAGAUUGUGCCUGGGGUCAGUUGGAGCUCAUCUAAAAGUGGAAGCUAUAAUUACAGGUCUCUGCUCAAGUGUCUCUUUGGCAGAGAGGUCUUCCCUGACUAGCCCAUCUCAAGAGCCCUCCCACCCAGGACACUGCCCAGGCAAGGUGCAACUCAAGGAGGAUGUUAUGGCUUGAGAACUGGUGGUCAACUUAACGCCAGCUGGAUUACAUCAGCUUGCAUUGAGAGAAGAUGCUCCACCUGAGGAGGGUUGCCAGGAUAAAUAGGUGGAGAAGAAGAGAGGUGUUGGGAGGGAUUGAGGCAUUAAAUAGGAGGCAUUGUGGGUUCUCUUACGAGUUGCUGUCUGAGCUGUUGGUUCUCCUGGAGAAGCUCUGGUCUUCACAUCAAGCAUCGCUUCCUGGCUCUGGAGGGGAAGACAUGUUCUGCUUGGUCUCCAGGAUGAACUCGUCACACUGCUUCCUGGCACGUACCCGACUGUUCUUGUCGUCGGAGGAGCUCGGGGCCUCCGUGUCGCUGAGGACAGCAGUGGUGCCUUUCAGGAUAUCCAUGAUCUUUGUUGUGAGUGUGACUUCCCGGCUCCAGUGUAGAACCCUCAUCCCACUAGCACAGCUCCUUCAUCCUGCUGGCAUAGACUUUCUGGCUUCCACCACUGACCCUUGGGUCUUCCUGGUACGGAUCCAUAAAAGAGACUGGUGUGAGUCCUUCUUGUGGGCUCUGGACCUCCAGUUGGACUCGUGGGAGGUAUUGUUCUGAGCUCUGGGUUUUUAUCUGGACUCAUGUGGAACAUUGCCAUAGGGUUUAGGCUCUUGAUCUAUGUCUUUGGUGUUGCGGAUAGAUUUCCUGCAUUUUCUUAUGUUAAAUUCUGGUGACCAUUAUAAAAAUAUUAUGAACUUCAUGUCCUAAUCCUUGUUGUUCUCUGUGUACAACCCCUGACUACAACAGAGGGAAUAAAGAGACAAACACAUAGCUGCAAUUGUGGGUGUCAAAGGGAUUCUA
Long non-coding RNA from Cavia porcellus (domestic guinea pig), 1097 nucleotides. RefSeq lists it as uncharacterized. The record is from RefSeq and is a predicted model, not a curated record. Lineage: Eukaryota; Metazoa; Chordata; Mammalia; Rodentia; Caviidae. The transcript has 3 exons.